Molecule: ribosomal RNA, 492 nt
Filed under: uncultured bacterium
Lineage: Bacteria
Description: partial 16S ribosomal RNA
Rfam family: Bacterial small subunit ribosomal RNA
Source: RNAcentral
AGUGAACGCUGGCGGUAGGCCUAACACAUGCAAGUCGAACGGCAGCACAGUAAGAGCUUGCUCUUACGGGUGGCGAGUGGCGGACGGGUGAGGAAUACAUCGGAAUCUACUUUUUCGUGGGGGAUAACGUAGGGAAACUUACGCUAAUACCGCAUACGACCUACGGGUGAAAGCAGGGGAUCUUCGGACCUUGCGCGAUUGAAUGAGCCGAUGUCGGAUUAGCUAGUUGGCGGGGUAAAGGCCCACCAAGGCGACGAUCCGUAGCUGGUCUGAGAGGAUGAUCAGCCACACUGGAACUGGGACACGGUCCAGACUCCUACGGGAGGCAGCAGUGGGGAAUAUUGGACAAUGGGCGCAAGCCUGAUCCAGCCAUACCGCGUGGGUGAAGAAGGCCUUCGGGUUGUAAAGCCCUUUUGUUGGGAAAGAAAAGCAGCAGGUUAAUACCCCGCUGUUCUGACGGUACACAAAGAAUAAGCACCGGCUAACUUCGUG